RNAcentral lists this non-coding RNA (47 nucleotides) under unclassified sequences. Its description in RNAcentral is "S15-Flavobacteria ribosomal protein leader". It matches the Rfam family "S15-Flavobacteria ribosomal protein leader". The record is from RNAcentral.
UACUUUUGCACCUCGAUACAUAAUAAUCAUUAAAUAAUAUUUGCAUG